This 508-nucleotide ribosomal RNA is filed under the name uncultured bacterium. RNAcentral describes it as "partial 16S ribosomal RNA". It matches the Rfam family "Bacterial small subunit ribosomal RNA", at positions 28 to 507 of the family's 1533-position model. The record is from RNAcentral.
GACGAACGCUGGCGGCGUGCCUAAUACAUGCAAGUCGAACGCUUCUUUCCUCCCGAGUGCUUGCACUCAAUUGGAAAGAGGAGUGGCGGACGGGUGAGUAACACGUGGGUAACCUACCCAUCAGAGGGGGAUAACACUUGGAAACAGGUGCUAAUACCGCAUAACAGUUUAUGCCGCAUGGCAUAAGAGUGAAAGGCGCUUUCGGGUGUCGCUGAUGGAUGGACCCGCGGUGCAUUAGCUAGUUGGUGAGGUAACGGCUCACCAAGGCCACGAUGCAUAGCCGACCUGAGAGGGUGAUCGGCCACUCUGGGACUGAGACACGGCCCAGACUCCUACGGGAGGCAGCAGUAGGGAAUCUUCGGCAAUGGACGAAAGUCUGACCGAGCAACGCCGCGUGAGUGAAGAAGGUUUUCGGAUCGUAAAACUCUGUUGUUAGAGAAGAACAAGGACGUUAGUAACUGAACGUCCCCUGACGGUAUCUAACCAGAAAGCCACGGCUAACUACGUG